Molecule: non-coding RNA, 98 nt
Filed under: Devosia enhydra
Lineage: Bacteria; Pseudomonadati; Pseudomonadota; Alphaproteobacteria; Hyphomicrobiales; Devosiaceae
Description: Vasilyevaea enhydra Glycine sequence
Rfam family: Glycine riboswitch aptamer
About the family: This family represents the bacterial glycine riboswitch.
Source: Rfam by way of RNAcentral
CCCCCGACUGCGGGAGAGAUCGCCGGCUCAUCGGGCCCGCGACGCCGAAGGAGCAACCGCCCCCGGAAACUCUCAGGCAAAAGGACCGCAGUCGGUAU